AUACGUAGGGAGCGAGCGUUGUCCGGAAUUACUGGGCGUAAAGGGCGCGUAGGCGGCGCUUCAAGUCGUCUGUCAAAUGGAAGGGCUUAACCCUUUUUCGCAGACGAAACUGGAGAGCUUGAGAAGCAGAGAGGCAAACAGAAUUCCUGGUGUAGCGGUGAAAUGCGUAGAUAUCAGGAAGAAUACCAGUGGCGAAGGCGGUUUGCUGGCUGCAUACUGACGCUGAAGCGCGAAAGCCAGGGGAGCAGACGGGAUUAGAUACCCCGGUAGUCCUGGCAGUAAACGAUGUAUGCUGGGUGUGAGACUAGCGAUAGUUUCGUGCCGAAGUUAACGCGAUAAGCAUACCGCCUGGGGAGUACGGUCGCAAGAUUGAAACUUAAAGGAAUUGACGGGG
Molecule: ribosomal RNA, 394 nt
Filed under: uncultured bacterium
Lineage: Bacteria
Description: partial 16S ribosomal RNA
Rfam family: Bacterial small subunit ribosomal RNA
Source: RNAcentral